CCUACGGGUGGCAGCAGUGAGGAAUAUUGGUCAAUGGCCGGAAGGCUGAACCAGCCAUGCCGCGUGAAGGUCAGUGCCCUAUGGGCGUUAAACUUCUUUUGUGCGGGAGCAAUAAUGCUCACGUGUGGCCAGACGAGAGUACCGUACGAAUAAGCAUCGGCUAACUCCGUGCCAGCAGCCGCGGUAAUACGGAGGAUCCGAGCGUUAUCCGGAUUUAUUGGGGUUAAAGGGGGCGGAUAUGGGUUGUUAAGUCUGUUGGGAAAGUUUGCGGCUCAACCGUAAAAUUGCAAUUGAUACUGGCAGCCUUGAGUACAGUUGAGGUAGGCGGAAUUCGUGGUGUAGCGGUGAAAUGCUUAGAUAUCACGAAGAACUCCGAUUGCGAAGGCAGCCUACUAAACUGCCACUGACAUUGAUGCUCGAAAGUGUGGGUAUCAAACAGGAUUAGAUACCCGGGUAGUC
This 459-nucleotide ribosomal RNA is filed under the name uncultured bacterium. RNAcentral describes it as "partial 16S ribosomal RNA". It matches the Rfam family "Bacterial small subunit ribosomal RNA", at positions 338 to 795 of the family's 1533-position model. The record is from RNAcentral.